AUUGAAUAAAUUAAGGAAUUAGUGUUGGGCUUCUAACCCGAUAUAGAUGUUUAUUCAUUAUUCCUUU
RNAcentral lists this transfer RNA (67 nucleotides) under Whitmania laevis. Its description in RNAcentral is "tRNA-Ser". Lineage: Eukaryota; Metazoa; Annelida; Clitellata; Hirudinida; Haemopidae. The record is from RNAcentral.